Molecule: long non-coding RNA, 1968 nt
Filed under: Chrysemys picta bellii (western painted turtle)
Lineage: Eukaryota; Metazoa; Chordata; Testudines; Emydidae
Description: lncRNA (ENSCPBG00000017338.1)
Source: RNAcentral
UCGUUAUCCUAUCAAAGAAAGCAAUUAGAUUGGUUUGACAUGAUUUGUUUAUUACAAAUCCAUGCUGGCUAUUCCCUGUCACCUGACCACCUUCCAAGUGUUUGCAGAUGAUUUCCUUAAUUACUUGCUCCAUUAUCUUCCCUGGCACAGACGUUAAACUAACUGGUCUGUAGUUUCCUGGCUUGUUUUUAUUUCCCUUUUUAUAGAUGGGCACUAUAUUUGCCCUUUUCCAGUCUUCUGGAAUCUCUCCCGUCUCCCAUGAUUUUCCAAAGAUAAUAGCUAGAAGCUCAGAUACCUCUUCUAUUAGCUCCUUGAGUAUUCUAGGAUGCAUUUCAUCAGGCCCUGCUGACUUGUAGGCAUCUAACCUUUCUAAGUGAUUUUUAACUUGGUCUUUUUUUAUUUUAUCUGCUAAACCUACCCCCUUCCCAUUAGCAUUCACUAUGUUAGGCAUUCCUUCAGACUUCUCCAUGAAGACUGAAACAAAGAAGUCAUUAAACAUCUCUGCCAUUUCCAAGUUUCCUGUUACUGUUUCUCCCUCCUCACUGAGCAGUGGGCCUACCCUGUCCUUGGUCUUCCUCUUGCUUCUAAUGUAUUGAUAAAAAGUCUUCUUGUUUUCCUUUAUUCCUGUAGCUAGUUUGAGCUCAUUUUGUGCCUUUGCCUUUCUAAUCUUGCCCCUGCAUUCCUGUGUUGUUUGUCUAUAUUAAUCCUUUGUAAUCUGUCCUAGUUUCCAUUUUUUAUAUGACUCCUUUUUAUUUUUUAGAUCAUGCAAAAUCUCGUGGUUAAGCCAAGCUGGUCUUUUGCCACAUUUUCUAUCUUUCCUACCCAGCGGAAUAGCUUGCUUUUGGGCCCUUAAUACUGUCCCUUUGAAAAACUGCCAACUCUCCUCAGUUGGCACCCCAUUGUGCUGGGUGCGGCGAGGACACAGUGACCAAGACCAGGCCGGCAUAGCAGGGGGCUGCAGGUCGGGAUUGAGGGGCACCGGUGGAGAAGGGGGUCAGGCAGCCCCUGCUCUCACUCUGCCCCUGGCCCUGGUGCAUUCUGGGUGCAUUUGUAUUUCCCCGGAGGCCCCUCGACCUCUGCCCAGAGCAAAAUCCCAAUCAACUGUGCCAAGUGGGUGCAGGGAUGUCACCGCCUCUGGGCUCCAGGACUGGCAGACUCUGUUAAUGGUUCAUUCACUGGGGGAUAAGAGGCUGGAGCAGCCCCUGAGGGAGAGACAGACAGGGACCUCGCAGCUCCACAGACACCCAGGAACCGCUCCUUCCCCUGGCACGGAGUCACCCCAGGUGUCCCUCGCAGUGUCCCGCUGAAAGCUGUGAAGGCCCAUCUCGGCCAGCGAUGCUGAUCCUGAGCUGUUCCUCCAAGCUGCGGCUGCUGGAGGGGAUGCUACGGAGGGGCCUGCCUGACACGCUGCCGGUGACCAGGACUCGCCCGACCCCACAGAGCCGAACCCUCCCACCCUCGGGCUGGGCAGAAAGCAGGGCAAAGUCCCUCAUAGACACCUGGGUGAUGGGGCACAUAUUGGACUGGGGUGCAAUCCCCUGGGUCGGGGGUACCUGGAGGGCUGGCCCCUCUACCUGGUCAGGGGGUAGCAGUUUGGGGGCAGACCCUAUCUCCAGGUGAGGGGGCAGCAGUUCAGGGGCCACGCAGGCUCUCCUAGAUCCACAGGGGAUGUGCCGUACCCCAGCUUGUCACCAGGCCCCUGGGGGCAACCCCUGUAUUGGGCCAGGGCCCAAGGCUCCACACGGCUCCACAGGGGCAGGCCUGUGACCUCCACCACUGGGCCUUUGACACCAGCCCUCCCAUCUCUCUCCGUGGCUCCCUGCAGCGAAUGCAGCCGAGCCAGACGCCUGCAGGAGGCUUGGACCGGGCCCUGCGGUGUGUGUUGGCAGAGACCCCGGCAGCCUUUGCAAAACACGGGAGCGUUUUAGCACAGGUUAGCACAGCGAAUCAAAGGUUAAGUCACAGCCC